GUAGAGGGUGAACUUUCUAAAUCGAUGUUGGAGAACAAGAAGGGCUAUUUACUGGAAUAUGGUGCUGAGGGUUUGUUUGGAUUGGCCUGGUAACACAAGUGGAAGAGAGAAAAGCUGUCAGUCAAGCUGCUUAGGAAUUUAUAACCAAUUGAAAUAGGCCAAAGUCAACGUGCAUAGCCCGGGAUUUCCAAGGGUAUGAGACGCAUUCAUUCAAGUCCAACUUUGAGUCUUGGCCAUUAGGGACAGUGGCCUCUGCUGCUGAGGAACGAAGAGGAAAAGUAGCAGCUCUUUUGAAGCAACAAGGUAUCGGUCUCAAGGGAAUUGCAAAAGGAGCUCCUCCUGUAAAUGAAUAUCUCCCCCCCCCCCCCCCUUUGCUUGAAAGUGGUGGUAAAACUGAGGUAUGGCGCAUCAAUGGCAGUGCCAAGACCCCAGUUCUAAAAGAAGAAUCUGGUAAAUUUUACAGUGGAGAUUGCUACAUUGUUGUUUAUACAUACCACUCAGCCAUAAGAAA
Molecule: long non-coding RNA, 511 nt
Organism: Telopea speciosissima
Lineage: Eukaryota; Viridiplantae; Streptophyta; Magnoliopsida; Proteales; Proteaceae
Exons: 4
Source: RefSeq, a predicted model, not a curated record